This 305-nucleotide ribosomal RNA is filed under the name uncultured bacterium. RNAcentral's name for it is "bacterial SSU rRNA". It matches the Rfam family "Bacterial small subunit ribosomal RNA", at positions 334 to 653 of the family's 1533-position model. The record is from RNAcentral.
CUCUGCCUACGGGAGGCAGCAGUGGGGAAUAUUGGGCAAUGGGCGAAAGCCUGACCCAGCAACGCCGCGUGAAGGAAGAAGGCUUUCGGGUUGUAAACUUCUUUUGUCAGGGAAGAGCAGAAGACGGUACCUGUCGAAUAAGCCACGGCUAACUACGUGCCAGCAGCCGCGGUAAUACGUAGGGGGCAAGCGUUAUCCGGAUUUACUGGGUGUAAAGGGAGCGUAGGCGGCGAUGCAAGUCAGAAGUGAAAGCCCGGGGCUCAACUCCGGGACUGCUUUUGAAACUGUAUGGCUAGAUUGCAGGA